UCUCACUCGGAAGCUGUACACUUGGUGGGUAAGGGUGACCUCCUUGUUAGAGGAGGACUGGUCUUUGGUCAAGGGUGUACCAGUGGCUGCACUCCCCUGCUAGAAACUCCAAAGAAGCUCUCAAGGAAAAAAAAAUAACACAAAACAAAUAAGAC
Molecule: small RNA, 155 nt
Filed under: Ochotona princeps (American pika)
Lineage: Eukaryota; Metazoa; Chordata; Mammalia; Lagomorpha; Ochotonidae
Description: 7SK RNA (ENSOPRG00000022839.1)
Rfam family: 7SK RNA
About the family: 7SK was discovered as an abundant small nuclear RNA in the mid-70s but a possible function has only recently been suggested. Two independent studies have found that 7SK RNA binds the CDK9/cyclin T complex (known as elongation factor P-TEFb). P-TEFb activates transcription by phosphorylating the C-terminal domain of RNA polymerase II.
Source: RNAcentral